AUGACUUCACCAUCUACCUUGGCAUCUUUGCCAAGCAACUUCAAGGCAUCUUCGCCUUUGGACAUGCGGCAUCUUCGCCAACAAGCACCCCAAGACUACGCUCAAGAGAAGCUCCCCAAGCUCAAGUCCGCGACUUCCACGAGCUACUACGACCUCGACACCGACCACGAGCUUCCUUUCUAUGGGACUCAAGACCCCGAGGAGUAUCUCGAGUGGGAGCGCAAGAUGGACGACUACCUCAAGCUACAUCAAGUCCCUUCCGAAGAUCAAGUGAAGUGCGCCACAAGUACCUUCCACGACUACGCAUUGAUUUGGUGGCUUCACACACCUUCGACGAACUUCGACAUGAGUUGGACCAAGACGAACAAAGCUAUGCGGCGAGAGUUUUUGCCUUCCACCUAUACGGAACAACUUCAAUGCCAAUUGGAGAACACCAUCCAAGGAUCCAAGUCCAUCGACGAGUACUUCAAGGAGAUGAAGAAAGUCUUGCGACGAGCCGGUGUGGAAGACCCCAUUUGGAUGAAGUUUCACUUCAUGAUGGGAUUGAACAACGACAUCUCCAAGACUAUCUUCCUCGAGAACUACAAGUCCCUCGACGACAACUACAUUGGUGCUCUCAAGGCGGAACAAGAACUCAUAAAGGCCAAGGCUUCUUGA
RNAcentral lists this ribosomal RNA (657 nucleotides) under Triticum aestivum (bread wheat). RNAcentral describes it as "partial small subunit ribosomal RNA". The record is from RNAcentral. Lineage: Eukaryota; Viridiplantae; Streptophyta; Magnoliopsida; Poales; Poaceae.